GAAACUGAUUCUUUGUUACUAUAUAGUGCUGCUCUCCAAAGGUUACAUGAUAUGGAGAUCUCCUCUCUAUUUAUAGACAAAACUAGGGUUCUAGGCAUAUGGGCCACAUGAGCCUUCCUGGCCCAAGAAAGGUUUCUUAACAGAAACAACAUGUAGCCAUGAGGCCGCGCCGCACAAGGCGAGAGGAGAGGACAACGAGGCCUCAGGCCGCGUGACGAGGCACCUCCGUCGACAAAGCCAAUGAAUCGCUCACGCCGAAGAAGAUUAGCUGCGCCAGGCCGUUUACUGUUCGGCCGCACCGCUGUGGACACGCGCCGCUACACCUCGACGCCACCGCGGCCCUGAGCCGCUGCACCUCGCUGUCACCGCCGCCACCGCGAAGCACCCCAGCAGUCGUCACCCCUUCAGCACCCUAGCAGUCACACGGGGAAGGACCCCACCACCGCCUUCCUUGAGGUCAUGCCCUGCAGCACCCUAGCAGCCACACGGGGAAGGACCCUGCCGCCGCCUUCCUUGAGGUCCGCACGACGCCCGGCCUCCCCCUCCAGCGAUGGCGAGGGGUAGGGAGAAAUGGCGGCGGCUAGGCUUACGAUUUCGGGGUCGUCCUGCUUCAAAUUCGUAACUGGGUUACCAAGAAACCCCGGAACCUGAAGGCUACCUAUCUAAGUACUGGGACAUCCACAUGGAAGUUCUAUGUUCUAUGCACAGCUUCAAGAGUCAUCACCACUGUUCGAGCCCACGGAGGAAGAUGAGGAUGGCGAGUCAGGAGACUGGUACCGCACUUGGGCCCGUCCCCACGUCUGGUUCAUGAAGCUCUGAGCAUGGAUAUGUUGGGGAUGACGAGAUGGAUGUGGGGACUUGUGCUUGUGCUUCAUAUUAAUUAUUUGCAUCAUAAUGUCUAUGAUUGUUGGGAGCAGUCUUGAUAAAAUCGUAAGAAGAGCAGAUAGCUGCAAUAGAAAAAACUCAGUUUGAGAUUAGUGCGAAACUACAGUAGUAAGAUUCAGUUGUACGAAAAUGCACAAGGCAGAAACACAAGAAAGAAAUGCAUUGCUUGUGAUGAAAAAAACAAGUUGAAUCCCUUGGAGCAGAAUCAUAUGUAAUAAAUUUGGGAUCUAAUUUCUGUAAUGCCCCAUUUGGAAUUGAAUUCCAUUCUAAUAAUAGUAAUUUAGGUAAAUAUCAA
This is a long non-coding RNA of Zea mays, 1180 nucleotides long. RefSeq lists it as uncharacterized. Lineage: Eukaryota; Viridiplantae; Streptophyta; Magnoliopsida; Poales; Poaceae. The transcript has 2 exons. The record is from RefSeq and is a predicted model, not a curated record.